ACGAACGCUGGCGGCGUGCUUAACACAUGCAAGUCGAACGGAAAGGCCCUGCUUUUGUGGGGUGCUCGAGUGGCGAACGGGUGAGUAACACGUGAGUAACCUGCCCUUGACUUUGGGAUAACUUCAGGAAACUGGGGCUAAUACCGGAUAGGAGCUCCUGCUGCAUGGUGGGGGUUGGAAAGUUUCGGCGGUUGGGGAUGGGCUCGCGGCUUAUCAGCUUGUUGGUGGGGUAGUGGCUUACCAAGGCUUUGACGGGUAGCCGGCCUGAGAGGGUGACCGGCCACAUUGGGACUGAGAUACGGCCCAGACUCCUACGGGAGGCAGCAGUGGGGAAUAUUGCACAAUGGGCGGAAGCCUAAUGCAGCAACGCCGCGUGCGGGAUGACGGCCUUCGGGUUGUAAACCGCUUUCGCCUGUGACGAAGCGUGAGUGACGGUAAUGGGUAAAGAAGCACCGGCUAACUACGUG
This 467-nucleotide ribosomal RNA is filed under the name uncultured bacterium. RNAcentral describes it as "partial 16S ribosomal RNA". It matches the Rfam family "Bacterial small subunit ribosomal RNA", at positions 29 to 507 of the family's 1533-position model. The record is from RNAcentral.